This 1180-nucleotide long non-coding RNA is filed under the name Manacus vitellinus (golden-collared manakin). RNAcentral's name for it is "lncRNA (ENSMVIG00005003692.1)". The record is from RNAcentral. Lineage: Eukaryota; Metazoa; Chordata; Aves; Passeriformes; Pipridae.
GGUGAUCGGCUGUCACCGGGGAUGAGCCUCCCCAGCAACCCGGCUGUGCCCGGAGCUCCCCCGCUCCCUCCACCCGGCCUAAGGAUGGGGACCGGGACCGUUCCGGGCCCUGCCGAGCGUGAAACGGGUCACCGAGCAGGGGAACGUACCCACAGCAAGGCAAUGCAAGUUGGAACAAUAUAAACGACCUAAACCCAUCCUGUCCCGCUGAAAAUGGACAAAGCCUCGUGUGUUUACAAGCAGCAGGACUGCAAAAGGUGCUCACAUCCUCCCCUGAGAACCGUGCCGGCUCUGCUGUGGUUGGCACAGCUUCUGUCCCUCGAGGAGCAGCCCCCGGUGGCACUGCUGCAUGACUCUGGCAGGAGUGCUGCAGCCACUGACCAGCACUUUAAUUUGGAUACCAACAGUGAUGGAAAACUCAGUGACAGCACCAGGUCUUAAACCACACAAAUUAGGCCUGUGCUACUGGGCAUCGUUUAAUCCUCCAGGGCAAAGAUGAGGUCUUAAGCAUUUCACUGUGAAGACGGAAAAUCUUCCCUACGUGCUCUAAAAAAAUUGCAUCUUUACAUUUUGUGGCUGUAUCGCAGAGACAUGCAGUCUGUGGGUAUUUACAACAGAACCUGUUGGAUCACCAGAUUAAACAUUAAUUAGUAAAAUGAACAUCAUAAAAAAAUCACAUUAUUGUACUCAGUUUCUCAUUAAAGGGAUGCAGUUCCCAAGUAGAAUUCGUAUGUAAGGGGCUUCCAUCUGACAUUUAAGGUCUGGCUGUGCCAGUGACACACACACAGACUCACAGACACUGGCACAGCCUGCAGGGCGAGGUGUGAUUCAGUUAUGAGAACAGUUACUCUGUCAUCAGCAGGCCCAGGUUCAGCUCUGGCUGGACCUGGUGGAGUGAUCUGUGUGGAAAGGGCAGCAUUCCUGGGGAAGAAUGAGAAAAGCAAGAGACAGCAGUAAGAGGAACUGGGAUGCUGAGGUAAAGCUGAGGUGUUUGCUGACCUUUAAGCAGCACACACACCAUGAGUUAUGAUUCUCACUAAAGAGAUGCAACAGCAUGAAUUACAGUUUCUGUACUAUGUUGAAAGCUUUGUGCUGUUUCAAACUUUGGAUUGUCGUCUAAGAAUCAGGUUUAGAUCAGGUGCUGCCCAAAUAAAUUAGCAAGAGCUAAUUUAAAUAAGCA